Rhinichthys klamathensis goyatoka is the source of this 330-nucleotide long non-coding RNA. RefSeq lists it as uncharacterized. The record is from RefSeq and is a predicted model, not a curated record. Lineage: Eukaryota; Metazoa; Chordata; Actinopteri; Cypriniformes; Leuciscidae. The transcript is spliced from 3 exons.
GCUAACGAUUUUGUGAGCCCUGACAUUAUUUCACAUUUCUUGCUGUACAGCAUGUAUAACUUUGUUUAUUCCCAUUUUUAUUGACAGAGUGCUCACAAAUCGCCUCAUGUCUAUAAUGAACAUGGAUGGGACUGGUGACAAGCUGCCUUUCAGAAGAAUGGAACUUUAUAAGGUCACAAUAGGUGCCAUCCAGAAGUCACAACCCGGCAUCACAGAAGCUUCCAUUGGUAGCCUUACGGCCAACCAUUUGAGCGCUGCACCGGACAGAAGAGGGGGCACUGGACGCCGGAAGGCACUUGAGAGCCCUGGAGGUCUGAACCCAUAGUGCCC